GGUUAAGCGACUAAGCGUACACGGUGGAUGCCCUGGCAGUCAGAGGCGAUGAAGGACGUGCUAAUCUGCGAAAAGCGUCGGUAAGGUGAUAUGAACCGUUAUAACCGGCGAUGUCCGAAUGGGGAAACCCAGUGUGUUUCGACACACUAUCAUUAACUGAAUCCAUAGGUUAAUGAGGCGAACCGGGGGAACUGAAACAUCUAAGUACCCCGAGGAAAAGAAAUCAACCGAGAUUCCCCCAGUAGCGGCGAGCGAACGGGGAGGAGCCCAGAGCCUGAAUCAGUGUGUGUGUUAGUGGAAGCGUCUGGAAAGGCGCGCGAUACAGGGUGACAGCCCCGUACACAAAAAUGCACAUGCUGUGAGCUCGAUGAGUAGGGCGGGACACGUGGUAUCCUGUCUGAAUAUGGGGGGACCAUCCUCCAAGGCUAAAUACUCCUGACUGACCGAUAGUGAACCAGUACCGUGAGGGAAAGGCGAAAAGAACCCCGGCGAGGGGAGUGAAAAAGAACCUGAAACCGUGUACGUACAAGCAGUGGGAGCCCUGAUUUAUCAGGGUGACUGCGUACCUUUUGUAUAAUGGGUCAGCGACUUAUAUUCUGUAGCAAGGUUAACCGAAUAGGGGAGCCGGAGGGAAACCGAGUCUUAACUGGGCGUUAAGUUGCAGGGUAUAGACCCGAAACCCGGUGAUCUAGCCAUGGGCAGGUUGAAGGUUGGGUAACACUAACUGGAGGACCGAACCGACUAAUGUUGAAAAAUUAGCGGAUGACUUGUGGCUGGGGGUGAAAGGCCAAUCAAACCGGGAGAUAGCUGGUUCUCCCCGAAAGCUAUUUAGGUAGCGCCUCGUGAAUUCAUCUCCGGGGGUAGAGCACUGUUUCGGCAAGGGGGUCAUCCCGACUUACCAACCCGAUGCAAACUGCGAAUACCGGAGAAUGUUAUCACGGGAGACACACGGCGGGUGCUAACGUCCGUCGUGAAGAGGGAAACAACCCAGACCGCCAGCUAAGGUCCCAAAGUCAUGGUUAAGUGGGAAACGAUGUGGGAAGGCCCAGACAGCCAGGAUGUUGGCUUAGAGCAGCCAUCAUUUAAAGAAAGCAGCCAUCAUUUAAAGAAAGCGUAAUAGCUCACUGGUCGAGUCGGCCUGCGCGGAAGAUGUAACGGGGCUAAACCAUGCACCGAAGCUGCGGCAGCGACACUGUGUGUUGUUGGGUAGGGGAGCGUUCUGUAAGCCUGCGAAGGUGUGCUGUGAGGUAUGCUGGAGGUAUCAGAAGUGCGAAUGCUGACAUAAGUAACGAUAAAGCGGGUGAAAAGCCCGCUCGCCGGAAGACCAAGGGUUCCUGUCCAACGUUAAUCGGGGCAGGGUGAGUCGACCCCUAAGGCGAGGCCGAAAGGCGUAGUCGAUGGGAAACAGGUUAAUAUUCCUGUACUUGGUGUUACUGCGAAGGGGGGACGGAGAAGGCUAUGUUGGCCGGGCGACGGUUGUCCCGGUUUAAGCGUGUAGGCUGGUUUUCCAGGCAAAUCCGGAAAAUCAAGGCUGAGGCGUGAUGACGAGGCACUACGGUGCUGAAGCGACAAAUGCCCUGCUUCCAGGAAAAGCCUCUAAGCAUCAGGUAACAUCAAAUCGUACCCCAAACCGACACAGGUGGUCAGGUAGAGAAUACCAAGGCGCUUGAGAGAACUCGGGUGAAGGAACUAGGCAAAAUGGUGCCGUAACUUCGGGAGAAGGCACGCUGAUAUGUAGGUGAAGCGACUUGCUCGUGGAGCUGAAAUCAGUCGAAGAUACCAGCUGGCUGCAACUGUUUAUUAAAAACACAGCACUGUGCAAACACGAAAGUGGACGUAUACGGUGUGACGCCUGCCCGGUGCCGGAAGGUUAAUUGAUGGGGUCAGCGCAAGCGAAGCUCUUGAUCGAAGCCCCGGUAAACGGCGGCCGUAACUAUAACGGUCCUAAGGUAGCGAAAUUCCUUGUCGGGUAAGUUCCGACCUGCACGAAUGGCGUAAUGAUGGCCAGGCUGUCUCCACCCGAGACUCAGUGAAAUUGAACUCGCUGUGAAGAUGCAGUGUACCCGCGGCAAGACGGAAAGACCCCGUGAACCUUUACUAUAGCUUGACACUGAACACUGGUCCUUGAUGUGUAGGAUAGGUGGGAGGCUUUGAAGUGUGGACGCCAGUCUGCAUGGAGCCGUCCUUGAAAUACCACCCUUUAAUGGCUGGUGUUCUAACGUGGGCCCGUAAUCCGGGUUGCGGACAGUGUCUGGUGGGUAGUUUGACUGGGGCGGUCUCCUCCUAAAGAGUAACGGAGGAGCACGAAGGUUGGCUAAUCCUGGUCGGACAUCAGGAGGUUAGUGCAAUGGCAUAAGCCAGCUUGACUGCGAGCGUGACGGCGCGAGCAGGUGCGAAAGCAGGUCAUAGUGAUCCGGUGGUUCUGAAUGGAAGGGCCAUCGCUCAACGGAUAAAAGGUACUCCGGGGAUAACAGGCUGAUACCGCCCAAGAGUUCAUAUCGACGGCGGUGUUUGGCACCUCGAUGUCGGCUCAUCACAUCCUGGGGCUGAAGUAGGUCCCAAGGGUAUGGCUGUUCGCCAUUUAAAGUGGUACGCGAGCUGGGUUUAGAACGUCGUGAGACAGUUCGGUCCCUAUCUGCCGUGGGCGCUGGAGAACUGAGGGGGGCUGCUCCUAGUACGAGAGGACCGGAGUGGACGCAUCACUGGUGUUCGGGUUGUCAUGCCAAUGGCACUGCCCGGUAGCUAAAUGCGGAAGAGAUAAGUGCUGAAAGCAUCUAAGCACGAAACUUGCCCCGAGAUGAGUUCUCCCUGAGACUUAGAGUCUCCUGAAGGAACGUUGAAGACGACGACGUUGAUAGGCCGGGUGUGUAAGCGCAGCGAUGCGUUGAGCUAACCGGUACUAAUGAACCGUGAGGCUUAACCUU
This 2924-nucleotide ribosomal RNA is filed under the name Escherichia albertii. Its description in RNAcentral is "23S ribosomal RNA". It matches the Rfam family "Bacterial large subunit ribosomal RNA". The record is from RNAcentral. Lineage: Bacteria; Pseudomonadati; Pseudomonadota; Gammaproteobacteria; Enterobacterales; Enterobacteriaceae.